This 557-nucleotide ribosomal RNA is filed under the name uncultured bacterium. Its description in RNAcentral is "partial 16S ribosomal RNA". It matches the Rfam family "Bacterial small subunit ribosomal RNA", at positions 355 to 901 of the family's 1533-position model. The record is from RNAcentral.
UGGGGAAUAUUGCACAAUGGGCGCAAGCCUGAUGCAGCCAUGCCGCGUGUGUGAAGAAGGCCUUCGGGUUGUAAAGCACUUUCAGCGAGGAGGAAGGUGGUGAGCUUAAUACGCUCAUCAAUUGACGUUACUCGCAGAAGAAGCACCGGCUAACUCCGUGCCAGCAGCCGCGGUAAUACGGAGGGUGCAAGCGUUAAUCGGAAUUACUGGGCGUAAAGCGCACGCAGGCGGUUUGUUAAGUCAGAUGUGAAAUCCCCGGGCUCAACCUGGGAACUGCAUUUGAAACUGGCAAGCUAGAGUCUCGUAGAGGGGGGUAGAAUUCCAGGUGUAGCGGUGAAAUGCGUAGAGAUCUGGAGGAAUACCGGUGGCGAAGGCGGCCCCCUGGACGAAGACUGACGCUCAGGUGCGAAAGCGUGGGGAGCAAAACAGGAUUAGAUACCCUGGUAGUCCACGCUGUAAAACGAUGUCGAUUUUGGAGGUUGUGCCCUUGAGGCGUGGCUUCCGGAGCUAACGCGUUAAAUCGACCGCCUGGGGAGUACGGCCGCAAGGUUAAAACU